RNAcentral lists this ribosomal RNA (939 nucleotides) under uncultured bacterium. RNAcentral describes it as "bacterial SSU rRNA". It matches the Rfam family "Bacterial small subunit ribosomal RNA", at positions 12 to 925 of the family's 1533-position model. The record is from RNAcentral.
UUUGAUUCUGGCUCAGAACGAACGCUGGCGGCGUGGAUAAGACAUGCAAGUCGAACGAUUACUAUUGGGUAGCAAUAUUCGGUAGUGAGAGUGGCGCAAGGGUGCGUAACACGUGGGUAAUUUGCCGUGAAGUCUGGGAUAACUUGCUGAAAGGCGAGCUAAUACCGGAUGUGAUUGCUGGAGGGCAUCCUCUGGCACUUAAAGUCGGGGACCGUAAGGCCUGACACUUUUCGAUAAGCCCGCGGCCUAUCAGCUAGUUGGUGAGGUAAUGGCUCACCAAGGCUAAGACGGGUAGCUGGUCUGAGAGGACGACCAGCCACACUGGAACUGAGACACGGUCCAGACACCUACGGGUGGCAGCAGUCGAGAAUUUUUCUCAAUGGGGGAAACCCUGAAGGAGCGACGCCGCGUGGGGGAUGAAUGGCUUCGGCCCGUAAACCCCUGUCAUUUGCGAUCAAACCUUACGACCUAACACGUCGUAAGCUGAUAGUAGCGGAAGAGGAAGGGACGGCUAACUCUGUGCCAGCAGCCGCGGUAAUACAGAGGUCCCAAGCGUUGUUCGGAUUCACUGGGCGUAAAGGGUGCGUAGGCGGUCGGGUAAGUCUGACGUGAAAUCUUCAAGCUCAACUUGGAAACUGCGUCGGAUACUAUUCGGCUAGAGGAAUGGAGGGGAGACUGGAAUACUUGGUGUAGCAGUGAAAUGCGUAGAUAUCAAGUGGAACACCAGUGGCGAAGGCGAGUCUCUGGACAUUUCCUGACGCUGAGGCACGAAAGCCAGGGAGCAAACGGGAUUAGAUACCCCGGUAGUCCUGGCCCUAAACGGUGCACGUUUGCUGUAAGAGGAAUCGACCCCUUUUGUGGCGAAGCUAACGCGUUAACGUGCCGCCUGGGAAGUACGGCCGCAAGGUUAAAACUCAAGAAAUUGACGGGGGGCCUGCA